Molecule: ribosomal RNA, 475 nt
Filed under: uncultured organism
Description: partial 16S ribosomal RNA
Rfam family: Bacterial small subunit ribosomal RNA
Source: RNAcentral
GUACACUCCUGCGGGAGGCAGCAGUGGGGAAUUUUGGACAAUGGGCGAAAGCCUGAUCCAGCAAUGCCGCGUGCAGGAUGAAGGCCUUCGGGUUGUAAACUGCUUUUGUACGGAACGAAAAAGCUCCUUCUAAUACAGGGGGCCCAUGACGGUACCGUAAGAAUAAGCACCGGCUAACUACGUGCCAGCAGCCGCGGUAAUACGUAGGGUGCGAGCGUUAAUCGGAAUUACUGGGCGUAAAGCGUGCGCAGGCGGUUAUGUAAGACAGAUGUGAAAUCCCCGGGCUCAACCUGGGAACUGCAUUUGUGACUGCAUGGCUAGAGUACGGUAGAGGGGGAUGGAAUUCCGCGUGUAGCAGUGAAAUGCGUAGAUAUGCGGAGGAACACCGAUGGCGAAGGCAAUCCCCUGGACCUGUACUGACGCUCAUGCACGAAAGCGUGGGGAGCAAACAGGAUUAGAUACCCGAGUAGUCCCA